RNAcentral lists this ribosomal RNA (468 nucleotides) under uncultured bacterium. RNAcentral's name for it is "partial 16S ribosomal RNA". It matches the Rfam family "Bacterial small subunit ribosomal RNA", at positions 28 to 507 of the family's 1533-position model. The record is from RNAcentral.
GACGAACGCUGGCGGCGUGCUUAACACAUGCAAGUCGAACGGAAAGGCCCUGCUUUUGUGGGUUUCUCGAGUGGCGAACGGGUGAGUAACACGUGAGUAACCUGCCCUUGACUUUGGGAUAACUUCAGGAAACUGGGGCUAAUACCGGAUAGGAGCUCCUGCUCCAUGGUGGGGGUUGGAAAGUUUCGGCGGUUGGGGAUGGACUCGCGGCUUAUCAGCUUGUUGGUGGGGUUGUGGCUUACCAAGGCUUUGACGGGUAGGCGGCCUGGGAGGGUGACCGGCGACAUUGGGACUAAGGUACGGCCCAGACUCCUACGGGAGGCAGCAGUGGGGAAUAUUGCGCGAUGGGUGGAAGCCUGAUGCAGCAACGCCGCGUGCGGGAUGACGGCCUUCGGGUUGUAAACCGCUUUCGCAUGUGACGAAGCGUGAGUGACGGUAAUGAGUAAAGAAGCACCGGCUAACUACGUG